Molecule: ribosomal RNA, 322 nt
Filed under: uncultured bacterium
Lineage: Bacteria
Description: partial 16S ribosomal RNA
Rfam family: Bacterial small subunit ribosomal RNA
Source: RNAcentral
UGGGGAAUAUUGGACAAUGGGGGCAACCCUGAUCCAGCAAUGCCGCGUGUGUGAAGAAGGUCUUCGGAUUGUAAAGCACUUUCGACGGGGACGAUGACGACGGUACCCGUAGAAGAAGCCCCGGCUAACUUCGUGCCAGCAGCCGCGGUAAUACGAAGGGGGCUAGCGUUGCUCGGAAUGACUGGGCGUAAAGGGCGUGUAGGCGGUUUACACAGUCAGAUGUGAAAUCCCCGGGCUUAACCUGGGAGCUGCAUUUGAUACGUGUAGACUAGAGUGUGAGAGAGGGUUGUGGAAUUCCCAGUGUAGAGGUGAAAUUCGUAGA